AUACCUACGGGGGGCAGCAGUGGGGAAUAUUGCGCAAUGGGGGAAACCCUGACGCAGCAACGCCGCGUGCGGGAUGAAGGCUUGCGGGUUGUAAACCGCUUUCAGCAGGGAAGAUAAUGACGGUACCUGCAGAAGAAGCCCCGGCUAACUACGUGCCAGCAGCCGCGGUAAUACGUAGGGGGCAAGCGUUAUCCGGAUUCAUUGGGCGUAAAGCGCGCGCAGGCGGGCCGCUAAGGGGGACCUCUAAUCUUGGGGGUCAACCUCAAGCCGGGGCCCAAAA
This 280-nucleotide ribosomal RNA is filed under the name uncultured bacterium. RNAcentral's name for it is "partial 16S ribosomal RNA". It matches the Rfam family "Bacterial small subunit ribosomal RNA", at positions 335 to 632 of the family's 1533-position model. The record is from RNAcentral.